RNAcentral lists this ribosomal RNA (253 nucleotides) under uncultured bacterium. RNAcentral describes it as "partial 16S ribosomal RNA". It matches the Rfam family "Bacterial small subunit ribosomal RNA", at positions 524 to 776 of the family's 1533-position model. The record is from RNAcentral.
UACGGAGGAUGCAAGCGUUAUCCGGAAUUAUUGGGCGUAAAGCGUCCGCAGGCGGCACUUCAAGUCUGCUGUCAAAGACCGGGGCUUAACCCUGGAAAGGCAGUGGAAACUGAAGCGCUAGAGUGUGGCAGGGGUAGAGGGAAUUCCCGGUGUAGCGGUGAAAUGCGUAGAGAUCGGGAAGAACAUCGGUGGCGAAAGCGCUCUACUGGGCCAUAACUGACACUCAGGGACGAAAGCUAGGGGAGCGAAUGGG